Molecule: ribosomal RNA, 321 nt
Filed under: uncultured eukaryote
Lineage: Eukaryota
Description: partial 18S ribosomal RNA
Rfam family: Eukaryotic small subunit ribosomal RNA
Source: RNAcentral
CCCUUAGAUGUCCUGGGCCGCACGCGCGCUACACUGACAUGUUCAACAAGCCUCCUAGUUCGACAGGAUUUGGGAAAUCUUUGAACGCAUGUCGUAAUAGGGAUAGAUCAUUGCAAUUAUUGAUCUUGAACGAGGAAUUCCUAGUAAACGCGAGUCAUCAGCUCGCAUUGAUUACGUCCCUGCCCUUUGUACACACCGCCCGUCGCACCUACCGAUUGAAUGUUUCGGUGAAGAUUCCGGAUAGGACUUUUUUGAUUUAUUUCAAUUUUGUCUUAAAAGCUAUCUAAACCUCAACAUUUAGAGGAAGGUGAAGUCGUAACA